This 537-nucleotide transfer RNA is filed under the name uncultured cyanobacterium. RNAcentral describes it as "partial 16S-23S ribosomal RNA intergenic spacer". The stretch from base 209 to 281 matches the Rfam family "tRNA". Lineage: Bacteria; Bacillati; Cyanobacteriota. The record is from RNAcentral.
CAGGGAGACAACAAAAUGUUUAAUAUUAUUUUGUCACCUUAGGUCGAUCGGUAUCUCACGUUUUUAAUUUAUUAAGAAUUUCAUUUCCUAAGUUUUUCUAGGUCACACCCAUUAUUUUUCCUGGGCCAUUAGCUCAGGUGGUUAGAGCGCACCCCUGAUAAGGGUGAGGUCCCUGGUUCAAGUCCAGGAUGGCCCAUAUCUCUAUGUUGGGGGUAUAGCUCAGUUGGUAGAGCGCCUGCUUUGCAAGCAGGAUGUCAGCGGUUCGAGUCCGCUUACCUCCACUGAUUACCACCUCUUCCAUACCGGUAGAAUGGAAAUGUUUUGAGUCGUGAUCAAAUUCUGAAAGAAUCUAGCUUCCUAAUGAAAUCAUUAAGAUGCUGGACUCAUUGAAUUAAUUUCAUUGUUUUCAGAGAACCUUGACAACUGCAUAGAUUAUUUUUAAAGACAAUAAGCAUCUUUAAUGAUGCAGAUUUAUUAUUUGUGCGAAUGCAUUAAUAACAAUUCUAUUAAGCUGAUGCUUCAAUUUUUGAAGUUAUU